This 253-nucleotide ribosomal RNA is filed under the name uncultured bacterium. Its description in RNAcentral is "partial 16S ribosomal RNA". It matches the Rfam family "Bacterial small subunit ribosomal RNA", at positions 524 to 776 of the family's 1533-position model. The record is from RNAcentral.
UACGGAGGGGGCGAGUGUUGUUCGGAAUUACUGGGCGUAAAGGGCGCGCAGGCGGCCUGGCAAGUCGAGUGUGAAAUCCCUUGGCUUAACUAAGGAAUGGCGCUCGAAACUACCGCGCUGGAGGGCGGGAGAGGGAAGUGGAACUCUCGGUGUAGGGGUGAAAUCUGUAGAUAUCGAGAGGAACACCGGUGGCGAAGGCGGCUUCCUGGCCCGUACCUGACGCUGAGGCGCGAAAGCGUGGGGAGCAAACAGG